This 353-nucleotide long non-coding RNA is filed under the name Pan troglodytes (chimpanzee). RNAcentral's name for it is "lincRNA". The record is from RNAcentral. Lineage: Eukaryota; Metazoa; Chordata; Mammalia; Primates; Hominidae.
GAAUUCCAGCUUAGGUGACAGAAUGAGACCCUGUCUCUCUAAAAAACAAGCAAGCAAACAAACCAAAAACCACAAACAAACCAGAUCCCUCUUAGCAGAAUACUUCCAUGAGGUAAUAAAAGGUUUAAUUUAUUUCAGAAGUUUCUAGAUUUUAUUGUCUCUAUUUAGCCAAAGCUACAAGAAAAAUCAAAUUCAUAUCUUUAAAUGCUUUCAUUAUCAAUCAAGAAAGAAGAAAGUGAAACGAACAAACAAUUUUACUCAAGAAACUAGUGAGAAAUCAAAGAAAUGUCCAAGAAGUAGGAUACAAGAAUUAAUCAAAACAGAUUAACAGUGGAAUAAAUAAAUGAAUCCAA